This 481-nucleotide ribosomal RNA is filed under the name uncultured bacterium. RNAcentral's name for it is "bacterial SSU rRNA". It matches the Rfam family "Bacterial small subunit ribosomal RNA", at positions 28 to 526 of the family's 1533-position model. The record is from RNAcentral.
GACGAACGCUGGCGGCGUGCUUAACACAUGCAAGUCGAGCGGAAAGGCCCUUCGGGGUACUCGAGCGGCGAACGGGUGAGUAACACGUGAGUGACCUGCCCCGGGCUUUGGGAUAACCCUCGGAAACGGGGGCUAAUACCGGAUAGGACUCCCGGCUGCAUGACGGGGGGUGGAAAGAUUUUUCGGUCUGGGAUGGGCUCGCGGCCUAUCAGCUUGUUGGUGGGGUGAUGGCCUACCAAGGCGACGACGGGUAGCCGGCCUGAGAGGGCGACCGGCCACACUGGGACUGAGACACGGCCCAGACUCCUACGGGAGGCAGCAGUGGGGAAUAUUGCACAAUGGGCGGAAGCCUGAUGCAGCGACGCCGCGUGAGGGAUGACGGCCUUCGGGUUGUAAACCUCUUUCGGUAGGGACGAAGCGUGAGUGACGGUACCUACAGAAGAAGCGCCGGCCAACUACGUGCCAGCAGCCGCCGUAAAAC